Molecule: long non-coding RNA, 534 nt
Organism: Acanthochromis polyacanthus (spiny chromis)
Lineage: Eukaryota; Metazoa; Chordata; Actinopteri; Pomacentridae
Exons: 2
Source: RefSeq, a predicted model, not a curated record
UGAGGCCAACUGCUGCAGAUCCGAAACAUGUAGCUCCAGAUCCAGAAACAUCCAUGGCGAGAACAACCACAGGACACAGGACUUCAGGGGAAACACAGAGUUAAUGGCAUGUAAUGGUGAUAUAUAUAACAGCACUCAGAGAGAAGAGCCCAGUGCAUCAUGGGAAUCUCCUGGCAAGCGACCCAGCUGCCCGGAUCUCCUCCCGUCCUGCCUUCCCCCUUGUGCUCCUCUCCGGAUUCCCCUCUUGGUUUCCCUCCUGGACCCCCGGAUCCUCCUGCCGCCUCACCGCCCCGGACCACCAGCGCCUGGCUUCCCUCCUCUGGCAUCCCAGCCUUCUGCCUGCCUGCCGCUGCGAGCGUCCACGCUCUCACUACCGCCACACUCAGUUCCGCCCAGAUCUCUCGCUGACUGCUGAUCCCUGGCUCCGUCACUCCGUCCCCAGACUCCUCUCCUCCAUACCAUCCCGGAUCCCUCUCCUGGCUCCCCACCCCUCCGCAACUCCCCCACUCUUCCCAUAAUAAAACCUUCAUUCAG